RNAcentral lists this ribosomal RNA (254 nucleotides) under uncultured bacterium. RNAcentral's name for it is "partial 16S ribosomal RNA". It matches the Rfam family "Bacterial small subunit ribosomal RNA", at positions 526 to 779 of the family's 1533-position model. The record is from RNAcentral.
CGUAGGGUGCGAGCGUUGUCCGGAAUUAUUGGGCGUAAAGGGCUCGUAGGCGGUUUGUCGCGUCGGGAGUGAAAACGCCGUGCUUAACACGGCGCUUGCUUUCGAUACGGGCAGACUAGAGGUAUGCAGGGGAGAACGGAAUUCCUGGUGUAGCGGUGAAAUGCGCAGAUAUCAGGAGGAACACCGGUGGCGAAGGCGGUUCUCUGGGCAUUACCUGACGCUGAGGAGCGAAAGUGUGGGGAGCGAACAGGAUU